Ochotona princeps (American pika) is the source of this 488-nucleotide non-coding RNA. The record is from the annotation of a RefSeq genome assembly. Lineage: Eukaryota; Metazoa; Chordata; Mammalia; Lagomorpha; Ochotonidae.
CCAGGGCACAGCCCACUGCCCUGCACACAUAUGAGCAGGUGCUCACAGCCUGUGCAGGAGUCAGUGCCACUCAGGACACAGCAUGGACAUGAGGGUGCCUGCUCAGCUCCUGGGGCUCCUGCUGCUCUGGCUCCCAGGUGCCAGAUGUGCUGUUCAGAUCACCCAGUCGCCAUCCGAGGUGUCUGCACCUGUGGGAGGCACAGCCACCAUCAAUUGCCAGUCAAGUCAGAGUGUUUACAACAACAAUCUUCUAUACUGGUAUCAGCAGAAACCAGGGCAACGUCCAAAGCUCCUGAUCUAUAGUGCAUCCAAAUUAGCAUCUGGGGUCCCUGACAGGUUCAAGGGCAGUGGAUCUGGGAAAUCAUUCACUCUCACCAUCAGCGGGGUGCAGCAGGAGGACGCAGGAACCUACUACUGUUUUGGAGUAUAUGAUGAUGAUAGUGAUAACACAGUGAUACAAGCCUGAACAAAAACCUCCCAGGAAAGCA